RNAcentral lists this ribosomal RNA (397 nucleotides) under uncultured bacterium. RNAcentral describes it as "partial 16S ribosomal RNA". It matches the Rfam family "Bacterial small subunit ribosomal RNA", at positions 523 to 917 of the family's 1533-position model. The record is from RNAcentral.
AUACGUAGGUGACAAGCGUUAUCCGGAUUUACUGGGCGUAAAGGGCUCGUAGGUGGUUUGUCGCGUCGUCUGUGAAAUUCCGGGGCUUAACUCCGGGCGUGCAGGCGAUACGGGCAUAACUUGAGUGCUGGAGGGGAUAGCGGAAUUCCUAGUGGAGCGGUAAAAUGCGCAGAUAUUAGGAAGAACACCGGUGGCGAAGGCGGCUAUCUGGACAGAAACUGACGCUGAGGCGCGAAAGCGUGGGGAGCGAACAGGAUUAGAUACCCUGGUAGUCCAUGCCGUAAACGGUGGGCGCUAGGUGUAGGGGUCUUCCACGACUUCUGUGCCGUAGCUAACGAAUUAAGCGCCCCGCCUGGGGAGUACGGCCGCAAAGCUAAAACUCAAAUGAAUUGACGGG